Hipposideros armiger (great roundleaf bat) is the source of this 2161-nucleotide long non-coding RNA. RefSeq lists it as uncharacterized. The record is from RefSeq and is a predicted model, not a curated record. The transcript has 4 exons. Lineage: Eukaryota; Metazoa; Chordata; Mammalia; Chiroptera; Hipposideridae.
AAAGCGGCUCUGGCCUCUGGUGUCUCCAUCUAAGCCUGUGCCCCUUCCUGCCGCAGGGCGCGGAGAGAGAGCAAGGCGGCUCCUUGCACUGCUCGGGCUCUCCCGGCGCCAGUCGUGGAGCUUCUCUGACGCCGCCUCCAAGUGUCUCAGCUUCGUUGAGAGCCAGCAAUAGCCGCGGCUGCAGCGCCGACAAGCGCCGGUUCACCGCAGGCUCAGGCGCCCGGGUCUCUGCCCUCUACGCACUCGCCUCUCCUCCCGCCCGCCUUCCCUCCGCGUGCCCCACCUCCGGUGGGCGCCUGGCCUCCUCCGCCCUGCUGUCCUGUCGGCUGAGCGGCACGCGGGGAACUUUCGCGUCUGCUGCGAGAGCAGGGCGGCUGCCUUCGGGCUGCCUAGGACCCUCGGUCUGAAACCAAGUGCAGCGUGCUCUGCGCGGCUCUCCCGCCGAGGAAAUGGGGCUGGGAGCGGACAGCGGGCUCAGCGGGAGCUGGAAACAGAGGACGAGCCGACCGUGCCAGGUGGAACCGAGUCCUCGACGCCUCAGGGGCCACUGAGGCGUGGAGGCGCAGGUGUAGAGGGCCAAACGGAACGGCUUCAGAGCGGCCCAUGUCCUCCCAAAGAUGGUAGUUCGCAGAGCGGGGGUCGCUCCGACGCGUGCGUUGCCCGGGGAACUGUGAGGAGCCCGCGGAGGCCCACCCCGAAACGGGGCAAGGGGCAGAGCUCUCGGCUUGCAGGGUCCCAGAGCGGGACGACCCGGGGCUGCGGGGCUCCGGAGUGGUGGCUGUGUUAACGCCACCCUCAGGCGAGCCUCUGGGGCUCGGAGCAGAGCGCACACUGGCGGUGCCAGUGCACGCUGACGCCCAGGGCCUCUGGGGGUCCCAUGGUGUUGGCAGUGACAGCCCAGGUGGGAGCUUGGGCCCUCAGAGCCGCCCUGGCUGUACUCCAGGCUUCCCGGGAGGCAGGGAGGCGGACCUUGGGGGCCCUGGUCCCCAAGGCAGAGGGAGUCCCUUGUGGAGCUCCUGCUUGGGACCUGCCUCUAAUUCGGAGACUUGGCCGGCCUGAUUGAAACCUCCUUCAUGGCGCUCAGCAACUGCAGAGGCUGGAAAGAGAAGCAGAAUAUGGCAUGCGUUUCUCCCGGAGCCGUCUCCGAACUUUCUGUGAAACUGACUAGCCCACAUUCAAUAUCGGGUGGCCCCCCGCUGGCACCUUUGAUAGGGCCAUUACUCAGGCCAUCUGGGACAUCAGCCUGGGACGUCCAGGCCACCCUGACCAGUUCCCUUAUAUCGACAUUUGGAAAUAAUUAAUUCAGAAUCCACCUAAAUGGUUAACUUCCUGUACCAUCAGGACCCCCUCUCUUGGAGCGGUGCUAGUUGCGCCAGUCCCAGGGCUCCUCGCGCCUAAAUCUAAAAACCCUCCACCAGUUUUACAAGAAAUGCCCGAGGACCCUCCGGAGCCACAGCUUCUGCUGCCUCCGGCGUCCCUUCCCCCACCGCUUCCUCCAUACCCUCCCCCUACCCCCGCUCCCAUCUACCCUCCACUUCCCGAACCCUUUCCCGACUCCACCGUACCUGAGCCCCCUGCCUCCUCCAAAGCACUCCCUCCCUUAUCGCCUUCGCUUACGAGAAGGGGAUCUCCUUAUGCAUUCACUGGCGGGGAGUCCCAGUCCCCUGCUCCAUCAGUCUCUGAACUCCCUGGACCUGCGGCUAUUUUGCCUUUGCGCCAGAUACAGCCUGGGGGGAGCUUUAUUUAUGUCCCUUUCACCACCACUGAUCUAUACAAUUGGAAACAUCAGAAUCCUCCUUUUUCAGAGAAGCCUCAGGCCUUAAUUUCUCUUUUGGAGUCCGUUUUCCGGACCCAUAUACCCACAUGGGAUGAUUACCAACAGCUCCUCCAAACCCUAUUUACCUCCGAGGAGCGCGAGCGCAUUUUGCAGGAGGCCCGCAAAGUCGCUCUCGGACCAGGAUCAGACAUCAAUGACCCCAUGAAUUCUGACAGGCUCCAACGCCUAGUUCCAACCCAGCGACCAGACUGGGAUCCCACUACGGAUGCCGGUAAGGGGAGCCUGGACACUUAUCACCAGUAUCUUUUGGGGGGACUCCGAUCAGCGGCUAGAAAGCCCACUAAUCUGACCAAGGUAGGAGAGGUUGUUCAGGGUAAAACAGAG